This 253-nucleotide ribosomal RNA is filed under the name uncultured bacterium. RNAcentral's name for it is "partial 16S ribosomal RNA". It matches the Rfam family "Bacterial small subunit ribosomal RNA", at positions 524 to 776 of the family's 1533-position model. The record is from RNAcentral.
UACGGAGGGGGCUAGCGUUGUUCGGAAUUACUGGGCGUAAAGCGCACGUAGGCGGACCAGAAAGUUGGGGGUGAAAUCUCCGGGCUUAACUCGGAACGGUCAACUGAUACUGCUCGGCUAGAGUGCGGAAGGGGCAACUGGAAUUCUUGGUGUAGCGGUGAAAUGCGUAGAUAUCAAGAGGAACACCUGCGGCGAAGGCGGGUUGCUGGGCCGACACUGACGCUGAGGCGCGAAAGCUAGGGGAGCGAACGGG